This 253-nucleotide ribosomal RNA is filed under the name uncultured bacterium. RNAcentral describes it as "partial 16S ribosomal RNA". It matches the Rfam family "Bacterial small subunit ribosomal RNA", at positions 524 to 776 of the family's 1533-position model. The record is from RNAcentral.
UACAGAGGUGGCAAGCGUUGUUCGGAAUUACUGGGCGUAAAGGGCGCGUAGGCGGUUCGAUAAGUCCCGUGUGAAAUCCCUCGGCUUAACCGGGGAACUGCGUCCGAUACUGGUUGGCUUGAGUUUGGGAGAGGGAUGCGGAAUUCCAGGUGUAGCGGUGAAAUGCGUAGAUAUUGGGAGGAACACCGGUGGCGAAGGCGGCCCCCUGGACCGGUACUGACGCUGAGGCGCGAAAGCGUGGGGAGCAAACGGG